This 348-nucleotide ribosomal RNA is filed under the name uncultured bacterium. RNAcentral describes it as "bacterial SSU rRNA". It matches the Rfam family "Bacterial small subunit ribosomal RNA", at positions 30 to 381 of the family's 1533-position model. The record is from RNAcentral.
AUUGAACGCUGGCGGCAUGCCUUACACAUGCAAGUCGAACGGCAGCACGGGAGCAAUCCUGGUGGCGAGUGGCGAACGGGUGAGUAAUAUAUCGGAACGUGCCCGGUCGUGGGGAUAACGUAGCGAAAGCUACGCUAAUACCGCAUACGAUCUACGGAUGAAAGCGGGGGAUCGCAAGACCUCGCGCGAUUGGAGCGGCCGAUAUCAGAUUAGGUAGUUGGUGAGGUAAAGGCUCACCAAGCCGACGAUCUGUAGCUGGUCUGAGAGGACGACCAGCCACACUGGGACUGAGACACGGCCAGACUCCUACGGAGGCAGCAGUGGGGAAUUUUGGACAAUGGGCGCAAG